UUUCACUCAACAUCAACUCCUUUGUCUGCUAUUGUGCGACUUAGAACCGAAAAGAAAGAGAUAAGUUGAUAUGAAAUUGAUUUAUCUUGGUGGAGAGACACUUCAUACUUCAGCAAGCUUCAUGUAUAUGGAGGUGUAAAGGGGUGGGUACGAGAAAAGUUAUCCAUUUGGAGAUAAGUCUUUAUUUGGCCUAUUGGUAUUUCCUUUUUUAAUU
Molecule: long non-coding RNA, 214 nt
Filed under: Helianthus annuus (common sunflower)
Lineage: Eukaryota; Viridiplantae; Streptophyta; Magnoliopsida; Asterales; Asteraceae
Description: sRNA HanXRQr2_Chr10g0436311
Source: RNAcentral